Halichondria panicea is the source of this 2020-nucleotide RNA transcript. It is a transcript of the gene named kelch-like protein 14, with no coding region annotated. The record is from RefSeq and is a predicted model, not a curated record. Lineage: Eukaryota; Metazoa; Porifera; Demospongiae; Suberitida; Halichondriidae. The transcript has 6 exons.
UUAUAAGUUGAAAGUCAAAGAUAAUGUACGUAUUAUGUUCAUACUGCUAAGCUUCAAUCAUAGAUACUAUAGUAUCUAUGCUUCAAUUCUUUGCCAGAUAGAUCUGCCUUCUAAAUGUAAGACUAUGUUGACAGAUAAUUGUUAUAGUUAAAAUUAUGAGCUAGCUGAGAUUAUAUUGUAGUAAUACAAUUGUAAUAAUAAGCUAUAGACCUAUAGUACUGUAGGUAGUAUUAUAGCGAAUAGGUGCUGGUGUAAUUGUCAGAGGAACGCAAUGUCUCUUCAACUGCCUCAAUGACCAGCUCAACUAAUGCUGGGCCUAGUGAUUUCCCCCAUGAGCUGCAAUGGAAGAAGUGUGAUAUUCGAUCUCUGCAGAACAUUUCCAGCCCCAUCAAUGCUGCAUUUCACGGUGACACGGCAUAUUUCAGACACUAUCGCAGCAGAAAAAUCUAUUCAUAUAAUUUGACCAGUGGAUGGUCAGUUUGGGCCGAUUGCCUUGUCAGAGAUUGUUCUUUGGUUGUACUGCCUGUUCCUUACCAAGGCGCUGACCAAUUAUUCCUUCUUCACACAAUCGGUGGAAUCAAACGUAAAGUGGAUCGAACAAAUAAAGAUAAAGAAGAAUUUACGAAUGCUAUCUACCAGUUGACUGAUAUAAAAUGGACACGCUCAAUCACUUACCCAAAACUGAAAACCGAACGAAGCCAGAUGACAGUUGUCUAUAGCGAAGACCACGUAAUUAUAGCUGGUGGCUGCAGUGCUGAUUUAAAAUCAGUAAAUACAGUGGACGUUUUGACUAUUACAUGCCAACACAAAGAAUGGCGUGAGGUUGCCAGCCUUCCUUAUCCUGUGUACCGUGCUUCUGGAUGUGUGUGCAAUGGCAUGCUUUACAUACUAGGGGGACACGUGUCUCCUUUUGAUCCAAUCAGAAGUGCUUGUGUUGCUACAGUGUCAGAGCUUGUUGAAGCUCACAGCAAUGAAGCCAGUGAUAAAGACAUUUUUAAGAUUGUAAAAGACUUGGAACUCUACGAUUGUGUGUGUGUGUCAUUUCGCAAUUGUAUACUGGCAAUUGGAGGUUGGAAAUCAGACGCAAGUGGGACGAAGCUUGGGACGAAACUUGUCUACGUCUAUCACGAAGACGAGAAAGUUUGGAAAGAGCUAAAAGGUCGACUGUCUGAGUCUCGGUGUUACCCUUUUGCUGCUGCUUUUAAAGACAAGAUAAUGAUUGUUGGAGGGUAUAAUAGACCUAAUGGAACAUGUACUGAUUCUGUAGAAUUUGGAAUACUUCCCAGUGAUGAGCCAAAGCAAGUCUGUCAGGCCCUACUACCAUCUGAGAGGGAAGCUAGUGUUGAGGGGGCGUUGGUGAGUGACUGAACCGUUUACGAGAGAGGAAGGCUGCUGAAAAAGUCAAAAAAGAUAAUGAGAGUCAAUGGUCAAGCCGUAAGAGACCACUUCCUGGAAGAGAUAUGUCAGAUGAUCAACAACCAGCGGUCAAGAAACAGAAACAUCCUCAAGCCUCACACCAGCGCAAAAGAUCAUUGGCAGAUGCACAUGAUGCUCAAGCCUCACACCAACACAAAAGAUUAUUGGCAUCGGAUCCACUCGGAUCGUCACCUCUUAGCAAAAACAAAACAGUAGAAAUUGCAAAACGACCGUCCUCCAAUCCCAUUAUUGUUCCAGCUGAAAAAGCAGAUAUUCAAACAAUUUGUGAAAGUCUGAAGGAUGCAACUAAAAAUUGGUUCGAAUUGGGAAUAGUGUUUAAAAUUUCGCAUAAUGAUUUGAAAGACAUUGAAGGCCAAUACACCAGUAACAAACGCCGCCUAAUGGAGAUAGUGGGCAAGCGUCUUGAAGUCACAGAACAUCCGAUGACAUGGCCUUAUAUAUGUAAAUGUCUGAGAAGUCCUCUUGUUGAACGUAAUGAUGUAGCUGAGGAAAUCGAAGAAAAGCGGAUCCGGACUGAUGUAUGAGAUUUAUUCAUCAACUAUAUAUGGUAUCCCAGGCCUAACUGGACCCCCACCCCCUCCGC